Small nucleolar RNA from Balaenoptera musculus (blue whale), 249 nucleotides. Ensembl annotates it as small nucleolar RNA, H/ACA box 53. Its record names the gene SNORA53. Lineage: Eukaryota; Metazoa; Chordata; Mammalia; Artiodactyla; Balaenopteridae. The record is from Ensembl.
CACAUGCUUCCUUAGAUCCACCUUUGUGGAUGCCAAUCUUGAGCUGAGUUCUGCUUGUAAACUUACUGUUUCUUGUAGUUCCAGUCAAAGAAACAUCCAGCAACUUUUUUGGUUGUAUAGUCAAAGGUGCUUGAGUCAUUGGCAUGUGAGAUAAAUAUACCUGCAUGUUAGUCUUAGGUUCUGAUAGAAAUGACAUGCAGUGGUGCUGCCAUUUUGUUACUAUCAGGACUUGACUGGUGUGCGGACACU